Molecule: ribosomal RNA, 253 nt
Filed under: uncultured bacterium
Lineage: Bacteria
Description: partial 16S ribosomal RNA
Rfam family: Bacterial small subunit ribosomal RNA
Source: RNAcentral
UACGGGGGGGGCAAGCGUUGUUCGGAAUUACUGGGCGUAAAGGGCUCGUAGGUGGCCAACUAAGUCAGACGUGAAAUCCCUCGGCUUAACCGGGGAACUGCGUCUGAUACUGGAUGGCUUGAGAUUGGGAGAGGGAUGCGGAAUUCCAGGUGUAGCGGUGAAAUGCGUAGAUAUCGUGAGGAACACCAGAGGCGAAGGCGGUUACCUGGACAGUUACUGACGCUCAGGCACGAAAGCAUGGGGAGCAAAAGGG